GGUUAAGCGACUAAGCGUACACGGUGGAUGCCCUGGCAGUCAGAGGCGAUGAAGGGCGUGCUAAUCUGCGAUAAGCGCCGGUAAGGUGAUAUGAACCGUUAUAACCGGCGAUACCCGAAUGGGGAAACCCAGUGUGAUUCGUCACACUAUCAUUAACUGAAUCCAUAGGUUAAUGAGGCGAACCGGGGGAACUGAAACAUCUAAGUACCCCGAGGAAAAGAAAUCAACCGAGAUUCCCCCAGUAGCGGCGAGCGAACGGGGAGGAGCCCAGAGCCUGAAUCAGCAUGUGUGUUAGUGGAAGCGUCUGGAAAGGCGCGCGAUACAGGGUGACAGCCCCGUACACAAAAGCGCAUGUGCUGUGAGCUCGAUGAGUAGGGCGGGACACGUGGUAUCCUGUCUGAAUAUGGGGGGACCAUCCUCCAAGGCUAAAUACUCCUGACUGACCGAUAGUGAACCAGUACCGUGAGGGAAAGGCGAAAAGAACCCCGGCGAGGGGAGUGAAAAAGAACCUGAAACCGUGUACGUACAAGCAGUGGGAGCACAGGUUUACCUGUGUGACUGCGUACCUUUUGUAUAAUGGGUCAGCGACUUAUAUUCUGUAGCAAGGUUAACCGAAUAGGGGAGCCGGAGGGAAACCGAGUCUUAACCGGGCGUUAAGUUGCAGGGUAUAGACCCGAAACC
This 681-nucleotide ribosomal RNA is filed under the name Salmonella enterica subsp. enterica serovar Infantis. Its description in RNAcentral is "partial 23S ribosomal RNA". It matches the Rfam family "Bacterial large subunit ribosomal RNA", at positions 1 to 722 of the family's 2925-position model. The record is from RNAcentral. Lineage: Bacteria; Pseudomonadati; Pseudomonadota; Gammaproteobacteria; Enterobacterales; Enterobacteriaceae.